This is a non-coding RNA of Paramuricea clavata, 237 nucleotides long. The record is from the annotation of a GenBank genome assembly. Lineage: Eukaryota; Metazoa; Cnidaria; Anthozoa; Malacalcyonacea; Plexauridae.
GAAAUAGUUGCACAAAUUGAAGUACAACCACUCCAAAGUUCAUGCUUCGUCGUAUUUCGAAAUCCAUGAACCGCCAAUUGUUGUGUUGUAAAUACGCAUGCGCUUGACCACAAAACACUUAAUGCGCACGCGCAGUAACAAAAACUGAUCUCAAUCCACAACUGGAGAAACCUGGACAAGAAAAAAAUUGUGAAAUGUGCGAAAGAAGGGCUGAACUGAAACAAGAUGACGUCGGAG